UUUUGGGGUUGGUUAUGGGAUUUUGGGGGUCGGUUAUGGGGGUCAGUUGUGGGGUUUGGGGUCACUUGGGUUGGUUAUGGGGUCAGUCAGUUGGGGUGAUAGGGUCGGUUAUGGGGCUUGGGGUCAGUUAUGGGGUUUGGGGUCACUUGUGGGGUUGUUGGUUAUGGGGUUUUGGGGAUGGUUAUGGGGUUUGGGGUCAGUUAUGGGGUUUUGGGGUCACUUGGGUUGUUGGUUAUGGGGUCAGUUAUGGGGUUUGGGGUCAGUUAUGGGGUUUGGGGUCACUUGUGGCCUCAAUUAUGGGGUCAGUUGGGGUGAUAGGGUCAGUUAUGGGGUGUGGGGUCACUUGGGUUGUUGGUUAUGGGGUUUGGGGUCAGUUGUGGGGUUGGUUAUGGGGUUUUGGGGUUGGUUAUGGGA
Molecule: long non-coding RNA, 414 nt
Filed under: Numida meleagris (helmeted guineafowl)
Lineage: Eukaryota; Metazoa; Chordata; Aves; Galliformes; Numididae
Description: lncRNA (ENSNMEG00000000481.1)
Source: RNAcentral